AGUGAACGCUGGCGGUAGGCCUAACACAUGCAAGUCGAACGGCAGCACAGUAAGAGCUUGCUCUUACGGGUGGCGAGUGGCGGACGGGUGAGGAAUACAUCGGAAUCUACUUUUUCGUGGGGGAUAACGUAGGGAAACUUACGCUAAUACCGCAUAAGACCUACGGGUGAAAGCAGGGGAUCUUCGGACCUUGCGCGAUUGAAUGAGCCGAUGUCGGAUUAGCUAGUUGGCGGGGUAAGGCCCACCAAGGCGACGAUCCGUAGCUGGUCUGAGAGGAUGAUCAGCCACACUGGAACUGAGACACGGUCCAGACUCCUACGGGAGGCAGCAGUGGGGAAUAUUGGACAAUGGGCGCAAGCCUGUUCCAGCCAUACCGCGUGGGUGAAGAAGGCCUUCGGGUUGUAAAGCCCUUUUGUUGGGAAAGAAAAGCAGCAGGUUAAUACCCCGCUGUUCUGACGGUACCCAAAGAAUAAGCACCGGCUAACUUCGUG
Molecule: ribosomal RNA, 491 nt
Filed under: uncultured bacterium
Lineage: Bacteria
Description: partial 16S ribosomal RNA
Rfam family: Bacterial small subunit ribosomal RNA
Source: RNAcentral